UACAUCCGACCGCUACAUCCGAUGCCGGGGGCUACAUCCGACCGCUACAUCCGAUGCCGGGGGCUACAUCCGAGGGCCGGCGCUACAUCCGAUGCCGGGGGCUACAUCCGACGGCCGGGCGCUACAUCCGACGGCCGGGCGCUACAUCCGACGGCCGGGCGCUACAUCCGACCGCUACAUCCGAUGCCGGGGGCUACAUCCGAGGGCCGGCGCUACAUCCGAUGCCGGGGGCUACAUCCAACCGCUACAUCCGAUGCCGGGGGCUACAUCCAACCGCUACAUCCGAAGGCCGGGCGCUACAUCCGAUGCCGGGGGCUACAUCCGAAGGCGACCGCUACAUCCGACUGCUACAUCCGACCGCUACAUCCGAAGGCGACCGCUACAUCCGAAGGCGACCGCUACAUCCGACCGCUACAUCCGAAGGCGACCGCUACAUCCGACCGCUACAUCCGAAGGCGACCGCUACAUCCGACCGCUACAUCCGAAGGCGACCACUACAUCUGACAGUAGGUGCAAACCAAAGUGGAAGUAUGGCUCCGCACCAUAUUACUCCCAACUGUUGGCCAGUCGGGUCCUUGAUCACUUGGACUAUGGAAGGCUAGUGCCACUGACUGGCAUGAAUACAGUAUGUGCCUUGUGAAUGUGCAGUUCUGUUUUCUGUGAAUUCUGUAGUUCUGUAUGGAACAAAUUAAUAAUUUCAGUCACUAGAGCAAAAAGGUUAUUCCACAGAACUGUGACCAUCCUACCCAUCAUUUUACUAUGGCCUGCAUGGUGUACACAUUUUAGCUCUAUUUUAUGAUGCGUUUUAAACUGUCACCUCUCAUUUUGAUUGGCCUAAAAUUGACAACAACCAUAGAGUGUGAACCCAAAGUAUUAGGCAAUUAUCCUUUUUAA
RNAcentral lists this long non-coding RNA (894 nucleotides) under Salmo salar (Atlantic salmon). Its description in RNAcentral is "lncRNA (ENSSSAG00000115619.1)". The record is from RNAcentral. Lineage: Eukaryota; Metazoa; Chordata; Actinopteri; Salmoniformes; Salmonidae.